This 83-nucleotide ribosomal RNA is filed under the name uncultured eukaryote. Its description in RNAcentral is "partial small subunit ribosomal RNA". It matches the Rfam family "Eukaryotic small subunit ribosomal RNA", at positions 908 to 990 of the family's 1831-position model. The record is from RNAcentral.
AAGGUGAAAUUCUCAGAUUAACUAAAGACUAACUUGUGCGAAAGCAUUUGCCAAGGAUGUUUUCAUCGAUCAAGAACGAAAGU